UUCUGGGAUUCCUCGGGCUCCUGCGACGGAGACGUGGGCGGCCACACGCGCGCAGGUGUGCCGGGACAUCUUUGCCCUUGUCCUCCCCGUGCCCUACAAGACCCCACAGGUGGGGCGCCCGACUCCCACCUCUCUCCUGGCUCCUCUGGACCAGCCACGUUGGGCCUUCUGUUCCUGGAACACACCCAGUUGCUCUCACCUCAGGGCCGUUGCACAAGCGGUUCCACCUGGACCAUCUCCCACGCACCUGUAACUAACUCCCACCCUCGUCGUCUACCGUUUCUGCUCAGAUGGCACCUCCUCUGAGGAGCUUCCUGCACAGGAGGAUACACCAGUCAGCGAUGGGAAGCAACUGCCACACACAUGGCUGAACCUUCCAGACACAAUGCGGGGAGGGGAAAGAAGGCAGACACAAAGCACAUCUUCUGCAGGAUGCCGUUUAUACCAAACUCACAAACUGCCCACCUGGUCUGUGUUGGAAGCCAAGGGGGAGUGCUCUUCCUUGAUAAGGAUGCCAGUCCACAAGUGUGCUCACUUUCUGAAAAUUAACCUAGCCCCAGGCACGUAAGAUUUGAGCACGGCCCUUUUCUGUGGGCCUGCUGUACCUCAAUAGUAAGUUGAAAGCAAAGAAUAGAUUGAGUGGGAUCACGUGAUGGAUGGCACUCCUCAAUUAAUUCCGCAUCAGCUGCCCCUGCAGCACAAGGCAUUUGGCUCACGGCUGAGCGGCUGUCCUUUAAUGAUCCACUAAAUACACCUCCCUGAGGGUCGCUCAGCUAAUGUCAGGUCUUCCCUGUGCCACUCGAGGCUGCCUGGAGGUCCCGGCACAGACACCAGACUCUCAGCGUUGCUCACCUGGCGAGGGGCGGGGCUGGCGGCCAGCAGAACCCCUUCCUGGGCGCUGGGUCGUGGCCGCGGCACUUCCUUCCCCUCCUCUUAGCGGUCUUUCCACUAUUGCAUAACUGCCCGGCCAGGCAGCCCUUCCUACAGACACCAGCCACGACCCGGCGGCCCAAGCGGGCAGCCUCUCCAUGUGAACUUCCCGCCCGAGGCCUCCCGCUUCCUCGCCUUGCUCCGCCCCGCGCCCCGCCCCUGGCAGGAGCGUCCAGUGCACGAAGCGAAAAGAAUUCGCGUUUACCUUGCAAGGGCCACCGGAAGCAGGCUCACGGCCCUCUGUCGGGAUGAGAUAGGAUUUACUUUAAUGCAUGGAUGAAACAGGGAUGAACAAAACAGAAAUGAGGCCAGAAAGAUGCUCAGACAGCAGAGCCACUUCAAAAGGGAACCAGAUGCCCGCCGUAUAAGUCAGCACCAUUGUCGAAACACGGAGCGCCAGACCUGGGCCAAGUCCUGUCCUGCAGGCUCGGAGUUUGUUUUUCAGUCCGGUUCUUACUGAUUAACAAAGACCUUGGUGGGCAAGUUUAUACCCCCAUCCCCAAGAAUCAUGCUACUUAUCAACCGUCUCACUCAUGACUACAUGGACCAUUCACUAAGGCAGGUAGCUGAAGGCCUGUCUUGUAGCCAGCUCCUGGGCUCUGAAUUAGCAAGCCAGGACAUUCCAGCCAAUUCUAAACAAGCCCAUGGUGCUGAAACCAGCGCUAAUUUGACCAUGGCAGGUAAGAAGGCCAUUUGGCAUGACAGUCACCUCGCCAGGAAACUGCUUUACUGAGAGCUACCCGACGGAGUGAGGCAUGUUAAAUCCUCCGGGGGAUGACAGUGGUUACUAAGAAUAACUUAUUCCACCUCGAGACAAGCAGCAACAGCACCCCCUGCCUGAGGUUCAGCAUUUCUGCAAGGAACCAAGAAGCUUGUUGUGUGACGAGAGAGAACGGGCAGGACAGCAGCCCUCAAACCUCACAAGUCACCGCCAGGAGCGCGCGGCAUGGACUCUGCGCCGUCGUCCGGGGUACAGAAACUGAUGAUACACUUGGCAGAUGUGAGAACCAUUUCAAAAAACACCUUAUAUAUAAAAACAAAAAUCAUGUGUAUGCAUAUACACAGAACUUUUAUACUAGAUACAUUUACUUCUACUAAAGAAAACAGAUUUCCUUAGUAAGUCUGUCAUCCCACAAAACUUUUGUUGAACAGGUUCUGUGUAAGAGCUUAACUCCUUUUAAAGACAGCCUUUGGCUAGAUUAUGAUUCUGUGUGGCUGGGAUAGGAAGUGUGAGUGGAGGCAGCAUGGUUCUUUCAAGAACACUCAAAUCAUGAGAUUCUACUGUAGCAGCUGUCUCCUAAUGUUGGUUGGUAGGUUAAUAACAAAUCAGUCUGGCUUUCCCUAGGAACAGACGUGUAAGGGUAAAGGAGAGGCAGAGGGCAAUGCUGAGAGAAGGGAGAAGACUGGGAGCCAGCGUGUGACUUUUACAUGCGAGGGGCCGACGUAUGCACUCUAUCUGGGGAGGGUUCUGACCUCCAAAAUCACAUGUAAGCUGCACGGCAGCUGGCACGUCACAGACAGAAGUCGGGGACUCCAGCCCCAGCUCAGACUAGCAGCACAGUGGCAUCAUAAACACCAGGAGCGACGGUGUCCUCAUGAGGAGCCUCUGGACAGGGCCGACCUGACCCUCAUCUCGCGUUCCGCCUGCCGCCGAGCCGCCCCAGGCUUCCCCAAACAUAAUCAUGAAAACACUUUAGAAAGAAAUGAGUUAGUGUGUGAAAGGCAUGGAUGGAUUUUAUUUAUUACCCUAUAUCUACAAUUUAAUUUGAGGUAAAAUAUAAGCAACACAUAAAAAUGCCUAUUUCUGCUACCAUGUAAUAUAAUUCUCCAUUGUGAAUAUUGUGAUAAAGCUAAUGAAAACUCUAUGCCAUCACAUACUCUAGCUUUUCAUAUAGCUGGUAUUUUACAACUCUUACUGUUUGUGAACUCUCAGCACAUGGAAGAUUCUCCUACAAAUGGCGCAGAGUAUCAGAGGGUGCAUAAUUAGCUUACCGGCCCCUCACUCCCCUCACCAGAGCCUCAGCAUCACAAGCAGGAUUGUAAAGUAACGAAGGCAAUGAAACCUCCUUGAGUCUGAUCCAAGCUGGAACAGCGUUCCAAAGAAUUCCACACCACCACGGGUCACACGACAGUGAGGCUUUAGUGUCGUUUAGCUUACCCACACACUCAUACCUGAUCUUAAACUUCUGGUACACCAUGCACUGUAUUCAGAUGAAACAUAAAUGUGGAUGGAAGAGGUUCGCUGUAUUCCAUCUGUAUGCCACACGCUGAGAUACGGACCUCUUACUGGCUGUUAGGUGAACCAGAUGGUUGUUUUUUAAUUAUGAUAAAAAAAAAUAUGAACCAUGAUAGAGAGCUUAGGAAAAGGUUUAGUCAAAUAUACAGAUACUAACUGUGUUCACUCAGUCAUCAAGGAGAGCCGUGAACAAAAGGAUCGUUUAAAUGAUUUUUCAAAUAGAAAAACUAAAGAACUGAACUACCACAAGUGGUUUCUUCACUGCAGAAGCUGAGAUGUUCCGGGAGGAGAUAUCUUCACUUGAUCGGAAAAUAGACACCACAGCUGAAGGCUCUGCUGAACACGUAAAAAAUCUGAUGAGAUUCAUCCCUGUCAUUUUCCCUGUCGUUUUUCCAGCAUUGCUGUAAAAUCCUUAUAAUACAUUCCAAAGUAAACCAGCCAUUCCAAAUCUACAGUCACUCUGCUCUUUAAUUCAAUUCACAGAACUGCUGAAAAAGUAGACAUUUCUAUCUAAAAGUAGAAAAAAAGGUUUGUAUAGAAGGUAUUUCUGUUAUACAAGUAUAUUACACAGCUUGGGGCAGUAACAGGUCCGAAAAGCUCUUCUCACCCACUGAUAUACUUUAAGCUAAAAUAGGAGAGAAAACAAACAAGCAAGAAAACAGGUUAAUCUGAUUAUAGGAAUUUAUCAUUCACAGAUACACAACUUAAUCCAUGAACUGACACUACAUGGCAAAUUCCAUGACAAAUAAAUAAAUAAUAAAAUUUAAAAAUCUCUGCACAAGCAAAACUUGUCAGGUAGAGAUGAGAGCCAACUACCACGGAGACGUCCCACAGCUGGGGCUUAGUCAGGUUCAAAAGGACACAAGAACCAAGUUUUGCUGACUCGGUCUAGAGCUGCCCCUCCUGGUAAUUACCUGGCCAAGUUAAAAAUCUGGAAUAAUUGGAUCAGGCUUGUAAUUUAUUAUGCAAGAUGCACAGUGGAUUGUGCAGCUCGGCCAGACUCUGCAAAUACUAUCAUCACAAUUAGGGAAAGAAGUCAGUCUGGUGAUACUGGCUCACAGUGAAUUCCAAUUGCAAGGAUACGAUUUAAAGUACAGAUUAGAAACAAAACAUUCUCCAUUUAAAUAAAGCAAAAGUGCUUUAACAUCCUUGACUGACAGACAUAUACUGAUCCAAGAAAAAUCUCUCUGCUUGAAUUGUCUAAUUCAAACCACACUGUAUGUUUAUACUUGGACCUCAAGGGCCCUGCAGGCGGGGCCAUCAUUUAUGUCUGAAGCAGGGAAAACACAUGAGCUUAAGAAUACGCGGGUGAGUUCAGACAGACACAGCAUGGCAUCCUGGACACAAAAGUUGAUUUACCCUAGGAGGGAGGAGGUCUACCACGUAGGGUCUGGUUCUUGCUUGAUUUGAGAGCUUCCAUCAGUCUCCUUUACUUCUAUCAAGAGAAACAAAAGGGAACUAUUAAUUGCAUUAUUAAUAUAAAUCAGCUCAAUUAUAAACCUACAUAUACAAAACUAGUCAUUAAAAUGAUUAAAUAGGAGUUGCAAGAUACUAAAAAUGCUAACAUUUUCAGAGAUGUUUCUCUAUUAAUAAGUUACAAAUGUUAUAUUUUAAAAAUAGCUAACAUCUUAUUACGUACGUAAAGGACCCACACUAGCUCCAUCUAGGUUAUAUAAUAGUAGUCAUUUAACUAUUUCAGAAUUUAUGAAGAAUCAUUUGGGGGAAAUGGAGGAAAAGAAUCCAUCUCUAAACACAAUACUUCUGUCAUAAAUUGCAAAUCCAAUUCACCCAGAAACAAAGAGAACCACCACACAGUUCCUAGUCAAACAGCUUUAAAAACACAAUUAAUCUUUUGUCUUAAGGAACUUCAGUUUUUGAGACCCAGACUGCCCUUUUUACCUUCUGUUGCAGGAACCUCCAACUGGCUUGGCUCAGUUGAUUCUGAAGAGAAACACAAGAAGAUUUUAAUUUAACACUGUUCAAAAGCUGCUUCCAAUUAUUCGAAGGGCCUGGGGGAGAAAGCUCUCCAGAAGCUGCACACAAAGCCCACGUCUAGGGUGAAACAACAGCCACAGGCUCCGCUUUUCUGAAAUGUGUUUCACGUUAACACAACCUUAAAGAACACGGCUGUAACGUGAAACCAAGAAGCUCCUUCUCUAUGUCUUUUUUCCUUCCUCUGUGGGUUGCCUUUUAAUAAAAGCCUUUUGCUACUUUCAGUGAAUCA
Molecule: long non-coding RNA, 5390 nt
Organism: Camelus dromedarius (Arabian camel)
Lineage: Eukaryota; Metazoa; Chordata; Mammalia; Artiodactyla; Camelidae
Exons: 5
Source: RefSeq, a predicted model, not a curated record